GAUGAAGAACGCAGCGAAAUGCGAUAAGUAAUGCGAAUUGCAGAAUUCCGUGAGUCAUCGAAUCUUUGAACGCACAUUGCGCCCUCUGGUAUUCCGGAGGGCAUGCCUGUCUGAGCGUCAUUGUCAACCCUCAAGCUCAGCUUGCUGUUGGGUCCCCGUCGUUGCUUUAACGGCGGACCCGAAAGGUAAUGGCAGAGUCCGUGAGACCCUAGACGCAGCGAGCUUCUAGCACGCGUCUGGACGUUUUUCGGGCUCGGUCUUAACUAGAUGAUAACUUCCGAUUGACCUCAGAUCAGGUAGGGAUACCCGCUGAACUUAAGCAUAUCAAUGCGGAGGA
This 337-nucleotide unclassified non-coding RNA is filed under the name soil metagenome. Its description in RNAcentral is "partial contains 5.8S ribosomal RNA, internal transcribed spacer 2, and large subunit ribosomal RNA". The stretch from base 1 to 120 matches the Rfam family "5.8S ribosomal RNA", at positions 35 to 154 of the family's 154-position model. The record is from RNAcentral.